Molecule: ribosomal RNA, 830 nt
Filed under: Rimularia gibbosa
Lineage: Eukaryota; Fungi; Ascomycota; Lecanoromycetes; Trapeliales; Trapeliaceae
Description: SSU rRNA
Rfam family: Bacterial small subunit ribosomal RNA
Source: RNAcentral
UAGCCUAACGGCUGAACCAGCAACUUGGAGGAAUGUACAGCGAAAGCUGGUUGCAUUAACUAAUAGUUAAUGCAGCAUCGACACUGUCGAAUAAAGUUCUAGGUAGAAUUAUGAUAAUGACAUUGUCUAUCUAUGUGUCUUGACCAAAUCAUGUGCCAGCAGUCGCGGUAAUACAUGGGAGACUAGUGUUAUUCAUCUUUAAUAGGUUUAAAGGGUACUUAGACGGUGAAUUAAGCCUGUAAAGGUACUAAUUAACUAGAGUUUUAUGCGAGAAGGGGAGUACUAAAGAGUGAAGAGAUGAAAUUCUGUCAUACCUGCCUUGGAACAGGCAACGGCGAAAGCAACCUUUUAUGUAAAAACUGACGUUGAAAGACGAAGGCCUUGGGACACCAACAGGAUUAGAUACCCCAGCAGUCCAGGCAGACAAUGAUGAAUGUCAUAGAUUAGAAAUAUAUUUUUGUCUAUAAAUGAAAGUGUAAGCAUUCCACCUCAAGAGUAAUGUGGCCACGCAGGAACUGAAAUCAUUAGACCGUUUCUGAAACCAGUAGUGAAGUAUGUUGUUUAAUUUGAUGUUCCGCAAAACACCUUACCACAAUUUGAAUAUUUUUAUAAAGAUUUUCUUUAUUAAUACAGGCGCUGCACGGCUGUCUACAGUUAAUGUCGUGAGAUUUUGGUUAGCUCCUUGAAAUUAACGUAAACCCUUACUUUAUUUAUUAUUAUAGAGUAGUUCACCGGUAUAUUGGAUAUGAUAAAAGGGACUAAGACAAGUCAAUAUGGCCUUAAUAUUGUGGGCUAUAGACGUGCCACAUAGGCCUUUACAAUAGGGAUGC